UUAAUGGAAAGGCCAUUCGUGAGAAAUAGUGGAAAUAUCGUUGAGCCUAUAGGCUACAGCUAUUUAAGACCGAAGCAUUUAACAAACAACAAGAGUUAACAAAAUAGCAUGGCUAUUAAUUAUUACUAGAAACUGAAAAGUGUCGCCCCAAAACAGGGAACGUUUACAUAUCAGUAUAAAACCGACAGAUGCAAACAGCAGUCUGUAUAUUAAGGAUUAGAUAUAACUUAAUUUGUAUUACAAUUACCCUGUUUAUUCUAUAUUAUUUAAUCAUAAUAGUAUGUUUUUUAAAGUAAUCUUUUUGCCCCAAAAUGAAUUUAGUUUAACUGUAAAAUUGCGUUACCCCCACAGUGUGAAUCAUCCUAGUUUGUAUUAUUGUGCAUUUCCUCAUUAUUUUUAAUAUGGUCUCGAGUCUCCAGAGAUUUGAGAUCCUUCAGUUUUAGACGUGAUGAAUGAAAGUCUGUUUCCAGGGUUUUUGCAUCCCAGACUAUAAUUGAAGACAAUAACUGCAAUGACUUUCCCAAUUAGGCUUGAGGUUGGAGUUAAGUUAGAGGGACUGUCAGUUUAAGCUAUGGGCAAUGGCUUUAUUGCUCACUAACCAUCAUUUCUUUAGAGCCCAUGUGCUAAUUACUUUGGAUGGUCCCAGAGACGGAGAUUAUAAAUCCAUUAGCACCCAAACCCUCGUGGUUCCACAGUGCAAACACUGUAAUUUUGUAGUACACCCAAAAAACAAACUUUAAGUACCAGCAGCUAGAUGAAGGGAAACAGAUUUUCAACAGUGUGUGUACUUCUUAGGGAUCCACUGUGAAGGGAAGCCCUGCGUAUAUCAAUCAGCAGCUAAACCGAAACACAGUGUAAACUAAGCAGGAAAGAAAAUGAACUGACAGGGGAAAAUGUCUUAUCAGUGGCCGGUGGUUAUGUUUAAACACGACAUGUUUAUAUUACCGUGUCAACUAAAUGCAGCAUUGUAAUCAUAAAUGAUCAACACAACACAUUUUUAAUAUUGUGGUUUCUAUUUUUAUGCAAGUUUGGAAAAUCAUUUAUUCUUAUUCCCAAAGUGCACGGUAAAUAUCCAGGGAGCGACGCAGCCUGAAGGAAUGAAGUGAAUUAAAAUAAGACAUACUACCUGUUUGACUGCGUUUAAAGAACGCAAUACAAAAACCGGGACCCAAACGGGGGUGCGUGUGAAGGCAUCUCACCCUUAAAGUAAUUUAUUUCAGGGAAACCGGAGGGCAAAGGUGGAAUUCUUGAGAAAUUCAACAAGGAUAAGGGAGCUUUAGGAAUUCUGCACGCAGAUUACCUUUCAUCCCAUCCUCACAUUAUCCGACAACACACAGUAGAAAUAUAGCUCAGCGACAAAAGAGCGAGAUUACCCUCCGACACAGAAGAGUGCAAAACAAUUUUUAAGAAGUAUUGCGAUUAUAGGGGAGCGAACAAGGGGAGAGAGAGAGAGAGAGAGAGAGAGAGAGAGAGAGAGAGAGAGAGAGAGAGAGAGCAGGAGAGAGGAAGAGGGGGGUCCAGUAGAGUGGUGAUUCCCUGUGUGCUUUCAAAGGGGGAGACAAAAAAAAAAAGAAGCUCGCCGUUCACAAAGUGUCCUGUCACUGUUGUAGUGCUGUAGUGUAUGGGUGGACAUCUAAAAAGAGUUCACUCAUACAUAUUUAUGGUGAGUAAAUUUACAUCAAACACAAUGUGAAACUGAGCAAAGGAUCACAGAUUAGUCCUCUUUUGGUGACAGAUUGUUGUUUACACUGUUGGUUAUGAUGCCUUGCAAUGAUCACUGACACUGGGUCAGAGUUUGACCCCCUUCUGGUUUUAACUUGUUGGUUGUUUUGGUUUGUGAAUAAAAGAGUGACAUCACAUUAGCCCUGCAUUAUAUUUCCUCAAUUUUCUAACCCUAAAACCAACACACAGCAGGGGCUUAAUUAGAAAUGUAGUGUAGCUGAACCAUCCACAUGCUGGAGCUGAGAAUGACUGAGCACAUUGGAGCAGUCUAGUUUACAGUACAGAGAAAAAAUGUAAUCAUUUCCGCACAAACUCUCCGAGUCUGUUUGAGUGAAACACACAUUCAUUUGUCAACCUUGAAAAUAUUAUGUGACAUAAAUGAAUAGCUGCUAUUAAAGUUUUACUUUUGUACCGUCUUAAACACCUGUAAAUAAUGUUUAAUUCAAUGCUAAAAUAUUAGCCAAGACAGCAAUUGUGUGUUUCAAUAUAUCACACAUUUCUAAAUGAAAACACUAUUAAAACAUAAUAUUUAAACUAAAAGAUUUCCCUCCCUCUCUUUCACACCUCACUCACGGACACAACUCUCUUGACAUUUUGUAUAUUUUAUUUGAAAGGUGUCUGGUGUUUGCACGUGUGGGCACAUGUGUGUAAAAAGACAGUGAAGUGAAGGUGUGAAGGUGGCCUGUGUUUAGUGUCCAGAACUGGCAGAUUGUGACCUUAUCAAUGUGAAACUCUUAAGAUAAAUUAUUCAUAGCACCUGUUUGAUGUCUCCGGCCAAAGAAUGACAAAGGUGUAAGAUUUAAGAUCCAUCUCAAAAAUCCAUGAAUAUCAGCCGCUGUGCUCCCUUGUCCCCUUUUUUAAAAGCAGAAAAAGAGGGAGAUAGGCUGCAUUUUAAACCACAAAAAUGAACAAUUUGUUUCCUAACAGGGGGUGCAGAAGAGAGCGGCCAGGGAACAGCCAUAGAUACAGUACAGUAGCAGAGAGCAACAUGGCGGCCAGGUGUUCAGAAACACAGCGGGACGUGUCGGUGUGGUGCAAGGACUGACACUGGGAUGAGAUGUAAUUUAUUGCGAGUGCUGUUUGAUUAUGGGACGUUGAUGGUGAUACCACUGCUUAGUAUGAGCGUUGGGCUCACUUGACAUGACAGCGCGGCACUGACAGGCUUAUUGUCCUUAAUCAUAUACGUGUGUGGUAAAUAUAACAUCAACUGUAAAUGAAUAGUCACUCUCAGAAUAGAUUUUAAGAGGCUGCCCUUUCUGAAUUCUAUUAGUCUGUUCAGCUUUGUUGUACAUUACAGCUUUUCUAAUCAGAAAUGAAUCCUAGCAUCCUGGAACUCAAAUCAUUUCUCAAUGAUUUGCUUUGGAAAAAGACCAUAGUAUGCUUUUUGGGAACAUUUACAUAGCUAGAGGUCAACAUAAUACGCUAUAAAUAAAACAAAUAAGGAUGGAUAUUAAUGAUGAUAUAUACAAAUGUACUGCGCAGGAGCUUGAAUUAUGUGAGCGUGCUGAAGGAGAGGUAAGGAGACACUCUCAAAGGCGCUUUCACACAUGUUUGUGUGUUUACUUGACUGUGUGUGUGUGUGUGUGUGUGAUAGCCAAGUCAAUUUCCCCUCAGAUGUUCCCUUUGACCUUUGACCCCACAGUUGGGGUCAAGCCCUGACAAAUGAGAUGGUCGAGUUCUGGCCAGAACUGCAAACAUUCCACAACAAUCUUCUGUCCUCCCUCUCCCCUCUCUUCAUAUCCGUCAUUCCUCACCCCUUCACUCCUCUCCGUAUGUCUCCUCCACGAGAGGAGGGAGAAAGUUCUCAUUACACACAAACAUGUUUUAUUAAAUUGGCUGUGGGAAUCCUACAGCACACACCCAUCAAAUUAAGAAUUACGGCAUCGGUUAAAUUUAAUAUCCCUAACAUCUGCCUUGUUUACAAAAGGAAAGAAAACAAAAAGAGAAGCUGUGUUAAAGACUUGGAUAUUAUAGCCCUGCACUUUGAAAGCACACUGUGUGUGUUUGCAAAGCUUGUCAGUGAUGUCAAAGAUGAGAAAUGUUGCAGUGUGGUUUUGUACACACACUGCUGGCUCGAGCAUUUCCGGCAACAUUUCUCACUCUGCCUCCCUCACACCAUCCGCUCUGCUGCAAUAUCCCCACAUUUUUCCAUCCUUUCACUUCUUCCCCCUCCCUCCCUCUCCGUUCGCCUUCUCUCCGCUCUCUGACCACUCUUGCUCCUGUUACCCUUCCUCUCUACUGCAACCCCCUGCUCAAUCUCAGCCUCUCCCUCCCUUCGUUCUCCUCCCAGCACAUUCACUCACUCCCCCCCUUCUCUCAUUUUCCUCCACCCACUAUUUUCUCUGAUUUUCGAGCCUGUCGUUCCACAGAAUGCUACCACCUGUGUCUUUAGAGGGAAAAGAAGGAGGGGGGGGGGGCCUAUUGGUAUUCCUCUUUGGAAAGCUGGUUAAGGUAAGUGGCACCCUCUAUUACAAUGACACGGCAAAUAAUGGUGCUGCCUGUUGUGUUUCUGCAUUAACUUUUUUUUCAUGAAAUGACCCCGGCUUCCUAAGCAUCACCACCCUCCAUCAGAGCUCUAGCUACAAGCCACUGCUGUAAAAACACAGACAGUCACCAUCGAUGAACGUCAGCAGAGCAACCAUAGUGCCACAUAGGAGCCUGGAGACCAACAAAGCUGGUUGAUAAAGUAACACUGAGUGGAUCAUGCUCUUGAACUUGCUUUCAUAAUGAUGUAAUAUUACUAAAAGGAGAUGCAACACAGCAAAGAUCUUAAUAAAAACACAUCAAUCUCAA
This is a long non-coding RNA of Cottoperca gobio, 4515 nucleotides long. RefSeq lists it as uncharacterized. The record is from RefSeq and is a predicted model, not a curated record. The transcript is spliced from 2 exons. Lineage: Eukaryota; Metazoa; Chordata; Actinopteri; Perciformes; Bovichtidae.